GAUGAACGCUGACAGAAUGCUUAACACAUGCAAGUCUACUUGAACUUCGGUUUGGGUGGCGGACGGGUGAGUAACGCGUAAAGAACUUGCCUCACAGUUAGGGACAACAUUUGGAAACGAAUGCUAAUACCUGAUAUUAUGAUUUUAGGGCAUCCUAAGAUUAUGAAAGCUAUAUGCGCUGUGAGAGAGCUUUGCGUCCCAUUAGCUAGUUGGAGAGGUAACGGCUCACCAAGGCGAUGAUGGGUAGCCGGCCUGAGAGGGUGAACGGCCACAAGGGGACUGAGACACGGCCCUUACUCCUACGGGAGGCAGCAGUGGGGAAUAUUGGACAAUGGACCAAAAGUCUGAUCCAGCAAUUCUGUGUGCACGAUGACGUUUUUCGGAAUGUAAAGUGCUUUCAGUUGGGAAGAAAAAAAUGACGGUACCAACAGAAGAAGUGACGGCUAAAUACGUGCCAGCAGCCGCGGUAAUACGUAUGUCACAAGCGUUAUCCGGAUUUAUUGGGCGUAAAGCGCGUCUAGGUGGUUAUGUAAGUCUGAUGUGAAAAUGCAGGGCUCAACUCUGUAUUGCGUUGGAAACUGCAUGACUAGAGUACUGGAGAGGUAAGCGGAACUACAAGUGUAGAGGUGAAAUUCGUAGAUAUUUGUAGGAAUGCCGAUGGGGAAGCCAGCUUACUGGACAGAUACUGACGCUAAAGCGCGAAAGCGUGGGUAGCAAACAGG
This 722-nucleotide ribosomal RNA is filed under the name uncultured Fusobacterium sp. RNAcentral describes it as "bacterial SSU rRNA". It matches the Rfam family "Bacterial small subunit ribosomal RNA", at positions 28 to 776 of the family's 1533-position model. Lineage: Bacteria; Fusobacteriati; Fusobacteriota; Fusobacteriia; Fusobacteriales; Fusobacteriaceae. The record is from RNAcentral.